CCCCACGUGACUGGAGCCAACUUCCUGCAGCUCUGGCGCUGGGGAGAGGUGGUCCUCGGGCCUGCUCCCCGCUGAUUGACAGGGAGUGUCUUUGUUCUCCCGCCCACACUGUGAGGUCAAACGGCUCUCCACGUGCGAAAAUACAGAGACAGUCCCCCUCUUCCAGGCCCCUGCUGGCUUAACAGAUGAACAAGACAUGGAUCCUGUCAUUGGAGAUGUCAUGAUUACCAGGAAAAGUGGCCAUGGAUUGGAUGCUGGAGAUUCUGCCAGAGCUGCUGCAGAAGAAUCAGCUGUGUCUGCCCGUGUGUUUACCGAAACAGCGCAUGCCCCUGCAUAUAUAUAUGGCUGCUGCAGCACGUUGCUCGCUUCUAGCUCUGAGACGCCUGGAAGUCAUCCUCUGGGGAGAACCAGAACAUUACCUGCCUGUGCCCUAGCUGCUGAGACACAGAAAUCGAAUUAAGGCUGAGCAUGGUGGCUCACGCCUGAAGCCCCAGCACCCUGAGAGGCUGAGGUAGGUGGAUUGCCUGAACCCAGGAAUUUGAAACCAGCCUGGGCAACAUGGCGAAACCCCAUCUCUACAAAAAAUACAAAGUUAGGCAGGUGGUAUGCUCCUGUAGUCCCAGCUACUUGGGAGGCUGAGGUGGGAGGAUCUCUUGAGCCCAGGAGGUCAAGGCUGCAGUGAGCCAAGAUUGUGUGACUGCAUUAUAGCCUGGACAACAGAGUGAGACCCUGUCUCAAAAAAAAAAAAAAAAUGGUAUUUAGCUUUCCAGAAUCUUUAGUUCAGAGCUUAGCUAGAAAGCAAUUGGAGUGGACAUUGGGAGAGCCAGCAUCAAGCUGUUGACUGGAUGCCCCGUUCCCCUUGUGGAUGCCCAUGACUACAUGUAAGGCAGCCUUUUACAGGGGGGUGGGCACAGAAAAUGAAAGCUAUUGAGGCUGGUCAGCCAGCUCUGGCUCCACAUAGGACAGACAGCACCCCAUGGGAACCCCAGCUCUGUGAAGUCUACCCCAGCCACUGUGUGGAGUCCAAAGACUUUUUCCAGCUUUCAGGAAGCCUUAACUCAGACACAGUGUGGGCUCACCGUAACCACCACAGAAGAAUGGCAGAAGUGACCUGUGGUUUAAAU
This 1124-nucleotide long non-coding RNA is filed under the name Aotus nancymaae (Ma's night monkey). RNAcentral describes it as "lncRNA (ENSANAG00000039217.1)". The record is from RNAcentral. Lineage: Eukaryota; Metazoa; Chordata; Mammalia; Primates; Aotidae.